GCAUUAUCUUUUCAAACCUUUUGGCCUCUUGGAUCUCAAACUUUUCCCCUCCAGAGUCUCUUCACGUGCGUAUCUGAGAGAAACUGUAGGGAUGGUCUGCUCCAAAGAGAAAGUCUUCAGCUGUUUGUGAAAUGUGAACUAUUCUGCCCAGAAUUCUGAAAUUACAAGGUUUUGAUAUUAUCGUCUUGUUCAUGUCUAGUUAUGUUGGUUUGCAGCAUCUGCCCACUAUAGCUAAAGAAGGUGCCUGACUCCUCCCUGUACAAGAGGAAGCUAUUGGUCCAUAAGGCAAGGGCCCCACCCCCACUCCAGUGGACUUGCUUUCAGGUUUUUAAAUCCCUUCUUGACCAUCCUUCCUUGGAGAAUGCUCAAGGUCAGUUCCUGCAGCCAUGGGUAAUAUGCAUGCUUCCUCCAACUCAGGUAGCCCCCCUCUCAUCCAACUUGUUUGUACAUCUUUGAACUCUUCUUGGUUUUAUCUUCUGUCCUAGGAGCCCAUUUUUGGUCUGCUCUCUUCCCACUCUGACUAUAGAGAGAACAACAUGCAAAUGUUUCCCAAGCCUGUUUUGAAUUUCCACCUCUUCCCUGAAUUCUUCUGUAUACUAAACUGCCUUUGGGCUAUCUCUGCUUGGAUGCCCCAAGGUCACCUCAAAUACAGCACAACCAUCUCAGGGCAUUGCACUGGCUCUUUCUGUGCCCUGGAGUGAUCUUCCACUGGACAUCUCAGGCUCUUUCCCUCACAGCCUUCCCUGACCCCCUCUUUAAAGCAGUAGUACCCACCUCCCACUCUGUGUCUGUCCCCCUACACUAGAAUGUAAGUUCUAUCAGAGCGUUUCAUUUUGUUCAAUAUUGUACCUUCGGCAUCUCAGAAUGGUGCUUGGGUAUUGUGGCACUUAAUACAUGUUGGAAGGGAGAGAGAAGAGGCAAAGAAGGAGGAGAAGGGAGGAAAGGAGGAAGGAGAGAAGGACUAAAUAAUGAACAAACCACCUCCUUGUUCCCCUCUCAAGAUCUGGCCUGCCCCAGCCACUCUGCUGCCAUUGCAAAGACCUAAAAUGCAUAUCUGGUCAUGUGGGUCAUAAUUUUAAUCCUUUGAAUCCCUCCUGUACCUACAAACAUUUCACAUGCUCUUGGAUUUACAUUCUUCCCUCAGCAUCCUCACCAGCCUCAUUUCUGACCAGUGUCUCUUACGCAUCUUGUGCUCUACCAGCAUGUUCCAAAUAAAUGGGCCAUGCACACAUGUUCCUGUGGCCAAAGAAAUCUGGGCAGCUCAUUGUACUGUAAAAGACUGAGGCCUAAACAAAAAUUUUGAGAAUUGAUUUGAGCAAAAAUCAAUUCCUAUCGGGCAGUAUGAAUCAGAAGGAGCCAGGGCCAAGAUUUUUUUCUAUAGAAGACAGGGAAGCAAAGCAUGGAAAUUAUUUGAUUGGCUCCAGCUUCAGCAGUUGCACUAUUUGGGACAGCCUAGCCUAACUGUCUGAUUGGUUGGUUUUCUUACCCUUGAGGCAUGUGCCAAGAAUGACUCUGGCAUGGCUACCUUUGCUUAGGUAGAUAAGCAAGGCGUUAGAGCCACCUCAGGGUACUGGCCUUCUUGUUGGUUUUCUUUAAGGAGACUCUUGUCUUCCUUUCCAAGAAUCGUGAAGCACCAGGGCAUAUUAAGAAAAUCACGUCAUUAAUAAACCAAAUCAAGUAAGCAUUUAAAAAGGAAAGCUAUUUAAACUUGUUAGUUCACAUUUCUCAAACUUUUUUGUCCAGGGACCCCUUUUUCUAAGGAACUGCAAUGAACAGGCUCUCAUGGAACACAGUUUGGGAGCAACUGCUCUCUACGACCCCUUCACAGCUCCCUGAACACCCCCAGCUUUCUCUUUCUUCCAAGCUUUACUUUUGUAGCUAUUGCGUUGAGAAGGCUCAUCUCACUUUUGAUGCCUGAAGAAUUCUAUAAUUUCUCUAAGCUCAUCCUACAGAGCUGAAUGCAAGCUUACAUCCUCUCUAAAAAAAAAAUCCCCCUAAGGAGAAUGAAUCAUUCUGUCCUCUGGCUCCCCAUUGUACCCGGUACCCUGCUUUACCACACCACUCACCUUGUUUGUUGUCCCUGCUUAUUCUUCUGAAUCUCCCAUGUGGCCAUGGAUUACUAAGGGUCAGGGGUCAUUGACCUUUACACCCUGCCACCACCUGUUACAGCAUGUGAAACACUGUAAGUGCUUGGAAGUGACAAAGAAAUAGCCCAUUCAAGGGACAUGCCAUUGAAACUUACUUCCAUGGGAUCAGACAUGAGGAUGGGGAAAACCAUGAGGGAUGUAUAAAGAAAUAUUUACUCUGAUUCAAUUACAUGGAAAGUGUUUCACCUUCCUUUGUGGGAAGGAAUAGAGGAAAUAAAAGGCACAGCCCAACAGGAGGUGGUCUGGCUAGGACCUGCCUCCUUCACUCCCCACCCCCAGAUUAAAAUGCACUCGAUGCUCUGAAAGUGACUUAAUGAGUAGUCAGGAAUCAGAGUCAGUAAUUUCCAUUGUUGCCAUUGCCGGACUCUAGUGACAGGAAAUAAACAGCCCAUCGCCAGCCCACAUAAAACACAGAUGCCUCCCAAACCACAAGUUUGCCCUGGAAACCGGUCUUAGCCAUGCCAGCUGCCUGUGUUGUUACUUUCCACCGAUUCUAUCCACAGACAGGGUGACUUUACCAUGGUAGAAAAACACAGCCUAAGGAAGCAAGCAAAAAAUAAACAUAGGAGCUUUUCCAAUUGAAUAAUGAAAAAUGUGAACAUUUAUUUCAAAUUUCACAUAAAAUGGGAAGUCAGGGAGUUUGGGUCAUUCAACCUCAUACCAGCCAGCAUCCAUUGUAAACUGUGAAACAUAGCAAGCGCUCAAAAAUGUGAGAUGAAUAAAUUUCUGGAAAAUAUAUCAGAUUAAAAGAUUUCAAGAGGUACAUAAAGCAAGGCUAGAAACCAGUUAUGUUGCUAAGUUCUCUUAAUGAGAACUAGCCCUGGCUUUUGGUCAAGAAAGGAAAGACUGAGUAGAUUAGUGUUUCUAAAUUUGUUAGUCUUCUAUUGGAUCAGCAGACAAGGCCACGCGGAAGAGGGUGGAGCUUGCUAGACAAAAGUCUCUUGCCAUUCAACUGACUAAUAAGCCACCUUACUGUACAACCAGCCUGAAAGCUAUGUAUUUCUGUGCAAAAGUUACCCCUGCCCUCUUGCUUUGAGCAAUGCCCGUUCUCCAGGGUCUAAGGUAAACAUAAAAAGGCCAAUCAUUUCUAGGUCCUCCAAAGCAACUUAGUCUGCUGUCUAAAGAACUAGAUGGGGGAUAGUGACAGCUCACCAAAUAGUGUU
RNAcentral lists this long non-coding RNA (3310 nucleotides) under Sus scrofa (pig). RNAcentral describes it as "lncRNA (ENSSSCG00000060412.1)". The record is from RNAcentral. Lineage: Eukaryota; Metazoa; Chordata; Mammalia; Artiodactyla; Suidae.